Molecule: ribosomal RNA, 554 nt
Filed under: Moesziomyces aphidis
Lineage: Eukaryota; Fungi; Basidiomycota; Ustilaginomycetes; Ustilaginales; Ustilaginaceae
Description: eukaryotic LSU rRNA
Rfam family: Eukaryotic large subunit ribosomal RNA
Source: RNAcentral
AAAGCUGGCGUCUUCGGCGUCCGCAUUGUAAUCUCAAGAAGUGUUUUCCGCUUCGGACCAUGCCUAAGUCCCUUGGAAAAGGGCAUCAUAGAGGGUGAUAAUCCCGUACAUGGCAUGGAGCGCCCGAAGCUUUGUGAUACGCUUUCUAAGAGUCGAGUUGUUUGGGAAUGCAGCUCAAAAUGGGUGGUAAAUGCCAUCUAAGGCUAAAUAUUGGGGAGAGACCGAUAGCGAACAAGUACAGUGAUGGAAAGAUGAAAAGAACUUUGAAAAGAGAGUUAAACAGUACGUGAAAUUGCCAAAAGGGAAGGGUAGGAGGUCAGAGAUGCGGCCUGGGAUUCAGCCUUGCUUUUGCUUGGUGUUUUUCCCAGAUUGCAGGCCAACGUCGGUUUUGGGCACUGGAGAAGGGUAGGAGGAACGUGGCACCUCUCGGGGUGUGUUAUAGCCUCCUACUGGAUACAGCGACCGAGACCGAGGACAGCAGCGUACUCGCAAGAGCGGGCCUUCGGGCACCUUUACGCUUAGGGCGUUGGCAUAAUGGCCCUCUACCACCCGUU